Passer domesticus (house sparrow) is the source of this 1170-nucleotide long non-coding RNA. RefSeq lists it as uncharacterized. The transcript has 3 exons. The record is from RefSeq and is a predicted model, not a curated record. Lineage: Eukaryota; Metazoa; Chordata; Aves; Passeriformes; Passeridae.
AAAAAAAAAAACCCCCACAAAACAACCCAGUGAGAAUGGCUGUGGUUACAUUCUGUCAGGAAAAUUCACAACAGAAUGCAGGGUUAUCACUGCAAUAUCAGAAGUAGAUUUAUGGUCAGCAAAAGCACUGCAAGGAAAAGAACGGGUUGGAGUUUGCUGACAGUUUCUAUAUUGUCACUCUGAAGAACAUUGAACAUGCACUGGAUUUUAAUUUCAGUCUUAAUUUUAGGGAAAUGAAUCCCACUGAUGGCUAUUAGCAGCAAAUUCACUGCAUGUGCAGUGGCACUUGCCACACAAAUCCAAAAACAGUCUUCGAAGCGUUCUUCUAAGAUAACGAACCGAAAGACAUUUUCCCGAAAAUUGGCAAUCCUUUCUGUGAGGUGAUGAAGUUUCACAGCAGCCAUGAAGCUGGUGACUCCAAGUACUACAAAUCCACCUGCAACAAAAUGAAGGAAAAAAUCUCAGAAGAGUUCAACAAAGAGGCAAGGGCAGAGGCAGAGGAGUGGCAGAGCAAAACUUGGCAUGGAAAAAGUCACUCAAGGGGUAAGUAUGAUUUACAGGGUUAUCUCCAAAUGACUUUCACCCCCUUCACAAAGCUAAAAGAAAACUCUCCAUCUAUCCCUAGGGAUCUUUUUCCCCAGCUUGAUUCUAGGAUUACAGAAUCUAACUGUAGCAAAAGGCAUUCAUGAAAUGAUAGAAAUUUUAUAUUCACACUCCAAAUGUCAAACCAUAAAGACUACAUAUUUAUUUAAUAAUACAAAUUUGCAUUCUGCAAGUUCUGUAAACAAAAAGAAUAGAAUGUUAAAUUUGAACUAGAUAUUAGACUAAACAUUCAACCAAAAUUGUACUUACUUGUGAAUUUGGAACGCCGCCCGCCCAAGCCACAUUGGCGUAUUUUGCCGCCCCGAAAGAGACCGUAGUAAAUUUCUCCAAUGAACUUGACCAGCUCUGGAUCUGUGGCAUUGACCAAAUCAGCUCCUGUUUUGCAAAGGAUCUUUCCAGUCAUCCACUUUGGGAUCCCCAUUGCAACAACAAUCAAGAUAAAAGACACAAAACUUAUUAGAGAAGCCAAGGCAAAUAAUGUCUUUUUAAAGCAGCCAGGCAUCCUAGUGCUUUCAAGGGAUCAUCUCCAAGCCCUCUCUGCGGGAGUCAGACGUAUUUCCCAUUUUU